UCAAAGGGAGUUGUAGGGGAA
Molecule: microRNA, 21 nt
Filed under: Glycine max (soybean)
Lineage: Eukaryota; Viridiplantae; Streptophyta; Magnoliopsida; Fabales; Fabaceae
Also listed under: 1 other name
Description: gma-miR2119
Source: miRBase by way of RNAcentral